CAUCCAAACUGUAAUGAUCUGAAAUCAUUCAGACACCAUGUUGAAACCUGGAAAAUCACAUACCUGCACCUUCAUUUUCAUAUAGCAAUGUUAGAAGUAUGAGGCACCAAUGUUGCCAGAAGCAGUGCUUUCAAUAGGUUGUCUCCUUCUAUGGAUGAUACAGUGGCAGCCCCACACUACAUCUCUCAAGAGAAGUGGAUGACUUCAGAUGAGAAAUCCAGCAACUAGUUAACACACGUUGAAGUGAUUCUUGAUUUGCAAGUGUUUUGUAAGAACAGCUCCAGAGAGUAGAGCUCUUUGAGCUUCACUACUGAGCAGAGGCCAGGAGAGCUGAGACCACUUGCCGCCCUCCUCAGCAAUCCCACGUCUCACCGUUUUCAAAGAACAGAUUAUGAGUUAUUUCAUUUGGCAUUUGGGGUGAGGUUGCACCAUCCCAUCAGACCACAACUUUCUCAGACAGGUGAGUCACUACCCCGGUGAUUAUAACUAAGCCUUACACAGGCACACAAAGCAACACAAGUGCAGAAGCGGAGGAUGCAAACCAGCUCUGGAGCUCACCCCCACAAUGAUACAGCCAAUGGAUGAGCUGUGUGCAGGCUGACAAUUCACAUGGAUUGUAGCUACGUGUCUGGUGAAGUGUAAAAACUUGUUAAAUAAUUUCCUUUUACCAUUAGAGGUGGGCAACCUUCCUUUCAGUAACAGUUUAAAAAGAAGAUGUAGUUUUAUAGAUCUGAAAGGUAUUCAGAACAGCAAACACAAAAAAAA
Pipra filicauda (Wire-tailed manakin) is the source of this 765-nucleotide long non-coding RNA. RefSeq lists it as uncharacterized. The record is from RefSeq and is a predicted model, not a curated record. Lineage: Eukaryota; Metazoa; Chordata; Aves; Passeriformes; Pipridae. The transcript is spliced from 3 exons.